Long non-coding RNA from Clupea harengus (Atlantic herring), 2744 nucleotides. The record is from Ensembl. NCBI's taxonomy places the organism in Eukaryota, Metazoa, Chordata, Actinopteri, Clupeiformes, Clupeidae.
ACAACCCUGGACGGCGCAACAGUAGUGUUAGAAAGAGAAGGACUACUCUCUCAGGAUAGAAGCUCCAAUGAAGAGUUUGAUGAUCGCCUUCUGUCUAUCGGACCGUGUAUUACUACUGAUCACCAUGGCACUGAGAUCAAACUUUUGGGUGGCAAGCCAACAGAUGAAGGUAUCAAUAAUUUACUUGAUGAAGAGAAAGAUGUAGAACUGUACACAGGGCAGAUAAUUGAGGCUGUCACACAGGACUUACUAACAAGUGAGACUUCUUCCAGUACUGAAACAUCAAAGGAGAGGGUGUUUUCUGAAUGUGACCCUAAAAUUACAUGCAAAGAAACUGCUUCAGGAACGCACCUAGAUUGUGCUCAUCCUAGGAAAUCAGUGGAUCGUAUCUUGCAGGAUAAUAAACUGCAUAGUGUUAACACACCUAGGGAACUAUUACCCAGAAACACUCCACAACUGGCUAAUUCUGUUGCUUCCGUCUUGUAUCACAACAUGUUUGACAGUGAAUCCUCCAGACAAUCCACACAUUACUCCAGCUCUCAGAUCAGCUGUGAUGUUAGUUUGUGUGAGACCACCACGGAACAGGAACUGAAAGAAUUUACACAGCCCUUGUCAGGGUCUGUCAUAAAUCUCCUCAAAGACAUGUUUGGAGAGAAAGCCCAGACUCUGAAAACGACCAAGGACCCAAUCCAGCUCAUCACAAACCCAACUUCAGAGACACUCUUCUUUAUGCCCCACGUCAACAAUAAAGACACAGUUGUGCACAAAAUUGCCAUUGAAGACCUGUGUGCAAUGGAUGCCAUGAAGAAUAUGAUUCCUCCUAACGACUCAAAGAGGGUUAAGACCCCAUCCGCCCCUAGGACCAAAAGUGAGAGAUUCUCUCGGCCCUCAAGUCCAACUCAUAACCUCUUACUGGCAGUUGUAGAAAAACUGGUCAAGAAAAUGACUGUUCACAGUCUCAGCAUCCCAGAGGCUUCCAAUGAGGCUGCCUGCAAACAGUUAUCAUGUUGUUCUCCAAAUGGACCUCUUUCAGAGUUUCAGCAUCAACUGAUUUCUAGGCUCUGCCCUGUGCUUGUGUCUGACAUUAUGGAAUCGCUUUCCAGUGAAAUCGUCAGCCCUGAUGAUUUAGGUGAAUCAGCUUGCCAAUCACCUGUGCAAGUUAUCGAAGAUGGAAUGGUAAGGUCUGGAAACGCAAGUGCCGACGUCUCAAAUCAUUGUGUUCAAGAGGACACCUGUGUCCAAGAGGGCAACGGUAUAGCCAGUGAGAGAGUGACCGAUGAAUCUGUUGAUAUUCUGGAAAGGGCUGUGUAUGACAUUGAGUCUGCGAUGACUGAUGCUGCAAAACAGUCUUGCUCUAGCCUUCCAUCCAAAACAGAUGUCGUCGUAGACGUCAUCACUAAGCUGAUCUCUGAUAUUGAGUCUGGCAGUAACUCACCGACACAUCUCACGAACAUGGCAGUUGACAUGGUGGUAACGGUGUUGGAUGAUCUAUCAGAGGAUACUAAAAUGAUUUCAAUUCCAGCAUCUCCUGACCACUUUCAUUCUCAAGUGAAAUACACCAGGCCCCCAAGUUGUAGGAUCGUAAGCAGUGUUCGCAAGGAGCUUGAGGAACAGAUUGGUUCCGCUGAUUCCCUCAAGCGAGCUCUAAACUCUGAAAGCACAGAAGUCACCAAGGCCAUCUCGAGUGCCGUUGCAAGGGAAGUCUCUACACUCCUUUCAGAAUCAGUAGCUCGUCACAUAGCCUUUACUUCCAGCUCUGACUCUCUGUUAAGCGCACCUGCUACGACCUUGGCACCUGCCGUGCGACCACUAACUGCUGUCAUCAGACCUGACGUCCCUAACGACCCUGACUGUUUGGCUAAUCCCUACCACAGAUGUGCAUCUUCCAUGGAUACCAAGCCUUUAAUGAUGAUGGUGCACCUUGGGACAGUCAAGGAUAUUGUCAGCAGACUCCUGUUACACCUGUUACCGAUGGGUUUAAAGGACUUUAACCUGGCUGACUGCAGCCUCUUUGACACCAUCUUCUCUGAACUUUCUUCCAGUCUCUUUUUGAGUGUUUCCAGGAACAAACAGAAGGCCACUGUUUGCCUGGACUCUGUUGAGGUCUGUCAGGUUGUCCUCAUGGUCUAUAAACAGUUAAUCAAAAUGUAUGGUUCUCCAGAACAUCUUGAGAGCCUGACAUUUGCAAAGUGCCCCGAGUUUUAUUCCUGCAUUUCAAAACUCAUUGUGGAAGGCAUCUUAAAGUCACCCCCGAGGCAGCCCUCUGGAAUGAAGGAAACCAGAGCAGUGUGCUCCUCAAAUGCGACUGUCUCCACUGAUGUUCCCAGGACACCAAAGGAGCAAACAGAGUGUGGAAGGAAACAGCAGACCAAGAUGAUGGCAACCAUUCAAGCAGAGCCAUAGAAUGCCACACCAAUGAAUACUCCUCAACCAUCACAGAGGAUUUUGUUUUGGGAUCUGCUAUGGGUGAGUGAUUUUCUUUGUUAAAAAGUCUUGGUAGUAACCAUUUUAAAAAUCUUCCAGGGCUGGAUCAGUAAUGGCAGUAUGGAAUAGCUGAGAUUCAUAUGCUUGUGAUGAAUGGAUAGUUAUUAGUAGAGCAAAAAACUCUCUAAAGCCCACAAAUAUAAUUGUGUCUUUUGAUCACCAGGCAAAGACAAGAUACCCAAGAAGAAGGGCAGAGUUGGCCGUUUCUAUCAUCACAUAUUCAAGGGGGUUAGACGCAGCUUCACAAGCUGCACUUCAUC